Patella vulgata (common limpet) is the source of this 1123-nucleotide long non-coding RNA. RefSeq lists it as uncharacterized. NCBI's taxonomy places the organism in Eukaryota, Metazoa, Mollusca, Gastropoda, Patellidae. The record is from RefSeq and is a predicted model, not a curated record. The transcript has 3 exons.
UGUAUCCAGCUCGAUUCCAGCAUCCUGUUCGUCAUCGCCAUCUACGUUUGCAGCCAGAACAAACAUUAUCUCUCCAGCACACACCCAUGGAUUAAAGGCACCUCCGUCCUAUCCAAUUGGACUCAAUUUAUCCAAAUUUAACAUCGGAUCUUUCUUAAAAUCAGACACAGGAUGCGUAAACGCCUACACGUCUAUUUCGUCCAGUUUAAAUCAUUUCAAUCCAAGUCUUACGUCUAGACCAUUCUUCUUUUCGGAAACAGUAUCACCUUAUGUUCCACAUCGAAAACGACGCGAAAACAAACCCAGGCGUCAAAGAACUACUUUCAGCAGCGAACAGACGUUAAAAUUAGAGAUGGAAUAUCGACGAGCAGAAUAUGUUACCAGGACUAGACGAUUAGAACUAGCAGAUGAUCUUCAACUAACAGAAACACAAAUUAAAAUAUGGUACCAAAAUCGCCGAGCUAAAGACAAACGUAUUGAAAAAGCUCACCUUGAUCACCAUUUUAGAUCUAUCAGUUUAAACAACAUGUCAACUGGUUCACCCUAUCCUGCUCUAAAUCCAUCAGUUCAUGGCAUGUAUGGCUGGGAUCCUUGGGUGUUACGUUCUCAGAUGGAAGCCGCGUCAACCAAAGUCCAAGUUUAAUUUAAUGACACACCAACGAUACUUUAAAAAGCAACCUCCAUAAACAGCACAAGUGGACGUUAAUAAACAAAAAUUAGCUGUAGAAUAAACAAGUGGAAUCGAAAAGUUCCUGAGUAAUGAGCAGUCCAAGGAUAUAUUGGUCCAAUUUGACGUUCAGCAGUCUGAUUAAAAUCAUAUGUUUCGUGUCAUUUCUUUGAGAACGGUGUUCAGAUCACGUGGACAGAUUGGCCAAUCAAAUCGUCAUACUGGUACACGGGGCUUCGUUUUGCGGGGAGUUUUGGAGAAAUGUAAUACCCAAAGCGAAAGCGUGAAUUCGACAGUACUGGGUUAUAGGACGAGUAUUUAGAAACAUGGUAGAAAAUUGGUUAGAUUACAAGUUAAGCUAAAAAAAAAGAAGAAAGAAAAAAAAAAGAAACGAAACGAAAUUGUAAUUUGAUUUUAAUAUGAAUGGCUUUUCAGUUCUGUACACUAUAUUGUUAU